CGCCUGUUUAUCAAAAACAUCGCCUUUUGAAAUAUACACAUAAAAGGUCCUGCCUGCCCAAUGACUUGUUUUAAUGGCCGCGGUAUCAUGACCGUGCAAAGGUAGCGUAAUCAUUUGUCUUCUAAAUAAAGACCAGUAUGAAUGGCAAGACGAAAGCCUCACUGUCUCCCUAAUCCAGUCAACGAAAUUGAUCUUCCCGUGCAGAAGCGGGAAUAAUAAUAUAAGACGAGAAGACCCUGCGGAGCUUUAAACUCUAAUUAACAAUAAUAAUGCUUUAAUAACCAGUUUUAGGUUGGGGCGACCAUGAGGUAUAACACAACCCUCACGACAAUUAACCAAGAAGGACACUUCAAACAACUAUCAUUAGCACUUGACCCAACAAUUGAUCAACGAACCAAGUUACCCCAGGGAUAACAGCGCAAUCCGCUCAAAAAGUCCUUAUUAACGAGCAGGUUUACGACCUCGAUGUUGGAUCAGGACACCCAAAUAGUGCAACAGCCAUUAAAGGUUCGUUUGUUCAACGAUUAAAGUCCUACGUGAUCUGAGUUCAGACCGGAGGU
RNAcentral lists this ribosomal RNA (560 nucleotides) under Bolitoglossa nicefori (San Gil mushroomtongue salamander). Its description in RNAcentral is "partial 16S ribosomal RNA". It matches the Rfam family "Bacterial large subunit ribosomal RNA", at positions 1797 to 2631 of the family's 2925-position model. Lineage: Eukaryota; Metazoa; Chordata; Amphibia; Caudata; Plethodontidae. The record is from RNAcentral.